Molecule: ribosomal RNA, 253 nt
Filed under: uncultured bacterium
Lineage: Bacteria
Description: partial 16S ribosomal RNA
Rfam family: Bacterial small subunit ribosomal RNA
Source: RNAcentral
UACGGAGGGGGCUAGCGUUGUUCGGAAUUACUGGGCGUAAAGCGCGCGUAGGCGGGCUGUUAAGUCGGGGGUGAAAUCCCGGGGCUUAACCCCGGAACUGCCUUCGAUACUGGCAGCCUAGAGGAAGGCAGAGGCUAGUGGAAUGGCGAGUGUAGAGGUGAAAUUCGUAGAUAUGCGCCGGAACACCAGUGGCGAAGGCGACUGGCUGGGCCUUUUCUGACGCUGAGGUGCGAAAGCGUGGGGAGAAAACAGG